Molecule: ribosomal RNA, 312 nt
Filed under: uncultured Glomeromycotina
Lineage: Eukaryota; Fungi; Glomeromycota
Description: eukaryotic LSU rRNA
Source: RNAcentral
ACUUGUGUGCGUGCGUGAGUUUCGGCCUCGCUGUUUGCAUGUUUGUGCGUUUUGGGUGUACUUUUUCGUAUGGUAGGCCAACGUCAGUUUCGAUUAUCAUAAAAUGACCGGCGGAAUGUAGCUUCGAUUUCGGUUGAAGUGUUAUAGCCUCUGGUAGAUGUGGUGAUUGAGACUGAGGAUUGCAACGAAUAUCCUUUGGGCUAUCCGUCUGGCCUCUGAAAGUUGCUCAGGUGCCGAAAGCGUGCUUACGGUCAUCUAAGAUAACGUUCAACAGGUUAGAACGUGAUUACAUUCGUUAAGGAUGUUGACGUA